CCUACGGGCGGCAGCAGUGAGGAAUAUUGGUCAAUGGGCGUAAGCCUGAACCAGCCAAGUCGCGUGAGGGAUGAAGGUUCUAUGGAUCGUAAACCUCUUUUAUCAGGGAAUAAAGUGUGGGACGCGUCCUGUUUUGUAUGUACCUUAUGAAUAAGGAUCGGCUAACUCCGUGCCAGCAGCCGCGGUAAUACGGAGGAUCCGAGCGUUAUCCGGUUUUAUUGGGUUUAAGGGGUCCGGAGGCGGCCUUUUAAGUCAGCGGUGAAAGUAUGUGGCUCAACCAUAGAAUUGCCGUUGAAACUGGGUUGCUUGAGUAUGUUUGAGGCAGGCGGAAUGCGUGGUGUAGCGGUGAAAUGCUUAGAUAUCACGCAGAACCCCGAUUGCGAAGGCAGCAUGCCAAGGCAUAACUGACGCUGAUGCACGAAAGCGUGGGGAUCAAACAGGAUUAGAUACCCUUGUAGUC
This 460-nucleotide ribosomal RNA is filed under the name uncultured bacterium. RNAcentral describes it as "partial 16S ribosomal RNA". It matches the Rfam family "Bacterial small subunit ribosomal RNA", at positions 338 to 795 of the family's 1533-position model. The record is from RNAcentral.